CACAUACGUUUCUUCACCCCGCCUCUCUCUUCAAUCAAAUAAAUCUUUCCUUUUUUCCUGAUUCAUUUCCCUUUUCAUAGUACAGAAACCCUAGGUUUCUUCUUCCUAUGUGGCUUUGUUCUUGGUACAGAUUUGAAGCUCUUAUUCCCCUUCAAAUCUCUCAAUACCUCUCUUAAAGUUGAAGCACCGAUGUCAUCGCACCAUCAAAGUUGUUUAUUUGAAGGUCAUCGCUCUCUCUGGCUCAUGAAAUCAAGGUAUGUCAAUUAGUGUAAGGUGUUUCCCCAAUUUUUGGUCAAUUAUCUUCUUCUCCAUAUAUAUUUUUGUUCAAAUUAGGUUUUUUUUAAUGAUGGGAAUGCGAUUGGGACAGAGGGUUUUGGUAAAUUAAUCUUAUAUAAUCCUCCAGGUAUAGGAUUAUGAGAAAAGUGCAUGUCGUUGUUGUUUUGGCUGAUUACCCUCUUGCGCCGGAGCACCGGUACCCUGUGCAAUAUGACACUUGCUUUCGUGUGCUCAGGUUUUUUGAUGUUGAAGAGAGUUGGUCUAAAUCGUUACCAGAAAGUGCUAAACUUUCAUGUUGUUUUCUCGCUAGGGAAGAGAAAUCACCCUGUUGUUAGAAGAGAAAUCACCAUUCUGUAAUAAUCCAUCGAAUUCAUUGUUGUUUUGCAAUAAUCGGUCUUCACGAUUACACCAUUUUGGGGUUCUAAGUAUUUGAAAUUGAGUUUUGGUGGGGAUGAGAAGGCCGUCAUGGAACAAAUCUCAGGUGAUCUAGCAGGUAAUCGUGCUGAAAGCGUUGUUGGAACCGUUGCGCGGAGACCGAUGACGGUGGCCGGAAACCCUACAUUUCAUCUCGGCAAUAUCAAACCCCAGCCACUCAGUAUAGUUGGUUUUUGCAUCUGACUCUACAAAUGGAAUAUAUAUGGAGCUGGUGCACACUCUGAUUAUGAUAUGCAAGGACAAAGACACGAAGCCUCAAGUGUGGGAAUAUGUCGAACCUUUAAAAGGGUAUGGCGGUUGAAUCUUUACACCAUAGAAGAUGAUGGACAAGGUGUUCGUACAUCUUGGAUCGUUUAAAAUUCAAUUGCUUAUACACACAUUUCAGAGCGUUUGUGGUACAUCUUGGCGAUAUGCUUGAACAAUGGAGCAAUGGUGUUUUCAGGUAUAAGUUAAUCUUUGGUUUUAUAGAUGAUGAUGGUUCUUUGAAUUUCAAAAAAAGACUUCUAUUGUAGAGAACUUAACUUAAAAAAUUUUCCUCUAGGAAAAAAAACAUAAAACUUAAGUAGGAAUCCAUGAAAUUUUGACUCUUUAAAGUAAUAUCUUUGACUCAAAAAGUCAAAUGGAUUUGGUUUUACAUGUCAACAUUGCAUAGAGUAUUCUUCGGCAACAGAGUUGGUAAUAUGUUGGUGAUCUCCGAUGACUUGCUGAGAGUGUGAAUUCAGUUUCUAAAAAUGUUGUUGAAUCAACAUGAGUUAUCAGUAGGCAGGUCAAGUGGUCACGUUUCUGAUGUUGCAGCCAUUAAAUGUCUGUAUCGGUGAUGCUUUCCUAUCACUAGCCCGUUAUAAUGGAGCAGUUUUUACUUACCAGAAAGCUUUAAACGCGUUCAAGGCAACAAAAGAAGACAAUCAUCCAUCUGUUGCUGCGCACAGUUUUCGUCCGUUUGGCUAAACUUCAUUACAAAAUGGUGGAAGUUUCAUGAAUCAAAAUCUUAUUGCUUAAACACACUACGGAUCUACGAGAACCCGAUGCAAGGAAGUUCUAACGAUGAUAUCGGUAGCGCGGGUUAAUUGAAGUUGCUGGUAUAGGUACUUUCAAGGUUACAAUCUUCCACACAUAUUUUGUUUUCGUAUUUAUUAUUAAUCGCUGAUUUUCUGCCUAUUAUCAUCACAACAUGGAGAUUUGUUUUGUUUCAGUGUUUCAAAGUCUAUGACAAACGUUUCUUUAAUCCAGGAAUCGGACCAUAUGUGAAGGUGGCAUUUUAGAUGUUUCUAAACAUAGAUAUUACGCACUUUAGAUGAGAAACAUAAAGAAACGUUUGUCAUAAAUACUAUUAUUGAUUUCAAUUCUGUUUAAAAUCUUACAUAUGGAAACAAGUGACAACAUAAGGAAAUGCAAUACUCCUAGGACAUUAUCUUAGGUAUUAACGACUGUAACUUCUUUACAUUAGAGGUGGUAAUUUGACAUGUUCACUUCAGAAACGGGUCAAAUGAUGGUCAUAUAUAAAAUAUACCUAAAAACGACAAGGUCAAAUGGGGUGAGUAGUUUAAGACUCACCCAUAGGUGUAAAAUUGACACUAAUUAUUUGCAAAAAAAAAAAAAAAAAAAAAAAAAAAAAAAAAAACUUCAAAAUUCUAGGAAGAAGCGUUUCGGCUAACCCAACCGAACCUAACCUGUUUGGCCUUUGACUUGUAUCAUUUACAAAAAUUUCAAUAUUAUGGGAAAAAAAUUUUCGGCUAGCCCAACUGAACUUGGCCCGUUUGGCCUCUGACCCAUUACUAAACGCACCCGCCCUUGCCAUUACACUUAUUUGUUUGAAUGUUUAGGCUACAAAGUCAAGAGUACCCUUGGGUUCAACCAGGUGUGAAGUGGCCUUUGUGUUGGCCUGUUGGAGGCAACCUGGUCCUCAUAUACUAUUCAUCAACUUAUUUUCUUUUUUUUUUAACACUUGAAUUUUGACUAAAACUACUGUUGGAAACAGCCAGAGCCUGGCAAUUUCAACAGAUGGUCCGAUUCCUUUUAUGAUCUAUCUCUAAUGGGUCAGACGGGUAAAACAAAAAGUUAAUGAAAAAAGAAACCUGACAAAUGGGGCAGGGAUUGAAAGUCGCCCAAACUAUAAGAAUAUACUUUUGUUAAUCAAAUUUGCAGCAAAAAGCCUCCUAAAUAUUUCAAUGAAAGUCCCAAACGGAUGGGCUCCACUGAUACUGAAGUUUAACUGAAACUAAAAGCGAAUAUCGUAAAUAGCUAGCUGAAGGAAUUGCAGGAAUUCAACACAAUGCCUUCUACAUGCAUCGCGCUUUGGUAGACUAUGGGGUGUGGAGGGGCUUGGGUUGGGGGCAUUGAUCGACAUAUGGCGAGGGUGGGAUUCACAAGUUAAUACUCAAAAGCUAGGGGUGUGGUGGGGCGUCGCUUAGUUGGGCGUGGCCAGCCAUCCGGGUCGCGUUUGUAGCUGAAAUUCAAAUUCUGGGUCAUAUUCGGCAUCGACUGAAAGGCAUUAACUAUUUAGGAAACUAUUUGGACCAACUAGCAAACUGGGCAGGCCGGGCAAGCACGGGUCACCGAUUAAAGCGACUUUGGGUUAGAAUGGGUUCGGGUCAAUAUGGGUUAGGAUUAAAAUGAGUUUGGGUUAAGACGGGUUCAGAGCAAAAUGAGUUCGGCCCAUUUAAAAUAUUAUUAAUUAAAUUCGGGUCAAUAUGGGUUUGGAGCAAAAUUAGUUCGGGUCAAACAUGUAGUUUAAAGGAAAUCUUUCAAUUUUUGGAAUCUCUUGAAAAAGUAAAGACUCGAAAAUCGGAAUGGGUAAUGUGAAACGGGUAGUUUUAGAUACAGGUUAAAAAAGUGAGUCAAGUCAGUUAACUUGCCAACAUUUUUUUUAGUUUUGUACUAAAAUAAGUAGUUAAUGAUGUGGGGGUAUUUUGGAAUUUUGGUGAGUGGUUCUAUAUUGAACCAGGUAUUAGUGGGAAGAGUACUGUUUUUUUUAGAUGCUAAGGGUGCUUGUGGGAUUGGGAUUUUUUGGUGAUUGGGGAAGGUGUUUGGGGUGUUAUGGGAGGGUGAAGGAGAGUUGAGAUGGUUUUGAAUUUUUGCAAGAAGUUUUGGGUUUUAAUGUGUAGGAUUAGGAUGAACAUAAAGGUUGAUAAAUUAAGAAUGGUGCUGGUAGAGUGCAGCUUGGGUGCACGUAUUUGGUUGUUGAUAAUUUGCAGAUUGGCAGAGUGCUUUGGAAGGAGUUUCGUUUGGUUGUUGCUGCACUCAAGAGUGUGAAGACCGCUGAUGUGUUUAAGGAUUAUGUUUUGUUUUGUAUUUAACAGUUUUGUUGAUGUUUUACUCUGGUUUAUGAUUGUUAGGUUUGACUUGUAUGAUAGGUUAAUUUGGUGGUUUUUGUAUAGAUUGGGCAGGGACCGAGCUUUUAAGUCCAUUUUGUUAGGCACUUUGUCCGUGGGGGUGGAGUGCCUUGGGUAGUAUGUCCCGGGAACCUAAACCCCUGUAGUUGCGUAUAUUGUUUUCGUUAUUAAUAAAAUUUACCAGAGUUGCCGCUCUAUUUUACCAAAAAAAACCCUUAAGGUUAUCAUAUUCAUUAUGAUUUUGAUAACUUUUUGUAUCAAAUCAGAUUCAUGAAGUUCAAAUUGUUUCCGAGUUUCUCUCAAUCAUUGUACUCAUUAAUUUCAGUUUUCUUAAAUUCGCUAGGUAAGUUGGGAAAAGAAAAAUCUAGCGAUGAGCUUUCACGUUGCCAUGGACAAGUUGUUCCUUGCUCCCCCACGCAACUCCAAACCCCAUGAGCAGUCCCCUUCAUCGUGGAAGCCAUUCGACAAAAAACAACUAGCGAGGUCAGUGGUACAGGAAGAAAGCCAUGGCAUCAAAAGAGUAUAGGGCGAGCAAGACAUGGAACAUUGUGUGGAAUCAAGUAAGACGUUGUUGGAAUUAGCGACUCCGAGAGUUAGCUUAAAGAUAUGGAGUAAAGCACACAAGAGAUUCACCAGAAAAGUAAACGAUCCUACCUGGUGCUUUGAUACCAUAAAGCAUCAAAAUCAAGAUGAUAUAGUUGAUUAAACGAUUAACAUGGGUAUUUGUGGUAAGACUUCAGUUAACUAAACUAAUAAUCACCUGAGAUCGAUUAUCAAAUUCGUGAAGUCCAUCUCCGGUUCGAUAUUAUUAGCAUAUUAAGUGCAAUAACAUUCUGCUCGACUGCAAAUAUGAGGCUUAUUUGGCUGAUUUUGGGCUCGCGAAGCUAAUGAAUUCUGCCAAUUAUCAGCAUGCCAUGUCACGGGUCGCCGGAUCAUAUGGAUACAUCGCUCCAGGCAA
Helianthus annuus (common sunflower) is the source of this 5001-nucleotide long non-coding RNA. RefSeq lists it as uncharacterized. The transcript has 9 exons. The record is from RefSeq and is a predicted model, not a curated record. Lineage: Eukaryota; Viridiplantae; Streptophyta; Magnoliopsida; Asterales; Asteraceae.